Molecule: long non-coding RNA, 243 nt
Filed under: Physcomitrium patens
Lineage: Eukaryota; Viridiplantae; Streptophyta; Bryopsida; Funariales; Funariaceae
Description: long non-coding RNA (PPAT_LNC009790)
Source: RNAcentral
AAUGCAAAUUUAUCCAUACUUCUUCUUCUUUGCUUGUUGCUAUACUUUUCAAAACCAGCAUCAAAUCAUAUUUUAAACCUACCUCUUCUAUUGCUCUAUCUAUAGCCUCUUCUUUUGAAAUCAAAUCCAUAUUUUUAAAUUUUUUCUCUUAUUUCUUCAUCUUUCUUCUAUAUAUUGAAUUCAAAUCUUUAAUUUUUUUAAAAUUCAUAAAGCCACUUUCUGUCAUGGACAUAUAUAUUUACC